AGCUGCACUCCCACUGCGCUUCUCGCUGCUCUCUCUCUUCUCUCUUUGAUACGUGUCUCUGAGACUUUUCCACCUACAGCGGCAGAUCUCCUCUGCCAUGAAACACAUAUGCCGGCGGUUGGUUGAUAGUAAAGUACAACAAAUAGCGAGAAUAAAAGCAAAUACAUACAUUCAAAACGUACCAGGUAGUCCCACGGCUUCUCCGACCUUGUUCCACGCUUUAUCUUUAUAGCUCCGGUUUCGGACGAUGACGAGCGGAGCUGCUCAACGCUGAUUGGCUGACGCAACUAUGACUCACGCGUCUUUGCUGCCAGAGUUGGGAAAUUUGAACUCGCGCGUCAACGAGCUGCGUCUGUUCGCGCUGUUCGCUGAGUUCGCCCCGCGACAAACCCUCUGUUCGUGCUGCUUCAAACGCGUCUGACGCGCUGCUCGCUGGAAAAUACGCAGCUACGCAGCUUCGACGCAGCUUUGCAUUGACUUAACAUGUAAUCUCGACGCGCGUCAAAAUUUUGACGCGUCCGGUGUGAACACACCAUUACCUCGAGCAAUGAGGUCGGCCACUGGGGUGUACGACGUAAGAUUCCACAACUCAGACUACGAGGAUCACCUGAACCUCUGGAGAGGAGCCGCAUCAGACGGGAGGUAAUCAAGCGCACUCAACUCUCUCCUCUGCUCUGCCCACACAGGACGAAGGAACCGUCUCACACCGAAUGCAGACCGAAGGCUUAAGACCCCGAGGAAUCCUUUGUUAAGUUUGACCACAUGACCCUUUACCCUAACCUACUUAUUAAAGGACACUUUUUGUUAAAUGAU
This is a long non-coding RNA of Pseudoliparis swirei, 813 nucleotides long. RefSeq lists it as uncharacterized. The transcript is spliced from 3 exons. The record is from RefSeq and is a predicted model, not a curated record. NCBI's taxonomy places the organism in Eukaryota, Metazoa, Chordata, Actinopteri, Perciformes, Liparidae.